Molecule: ribosomal RNA, 307 nt
Filed under: uncultured eukaryote
Lineage: Eukaryota
Description: partial 18S ribosomal RNA
Rfam family: Eukaryotic small subunit ribosomal RNA
Source: RNAcentral
CCCUUAGACGUUCUGGGCCGCACGCGCGCUACACUGACACAGGCAACGAGCUUUCCUUUACCGAAAGGUAUGGGUAAUCUUUUGAAACUGUGUCGUGCUGGGGAUAGAUCCUUGCAAUUUUUGAUCUUAAACGAGGAAUUCCUAGUAAGCGCGAGUCAUCAACUCGUGUUGAUUACGUCCCUGCCCUUUGUACACACCGCCCGUCGCUACUACCGAUUGAAUGGCUUAGUGAGGCCUCAGGAUCCGCGCUUAAUGUGUGGAGAAUUUGGACAAACUACGUCAUUUAGAGGAAGUAAAAGUCGUAACA